Molecule: ribosomal RNA, 3007 nt
Filed under: Salmonella enterica
Lineage: Bacteria; Pseudomonadati; Pseudomonadota; Gammaproteobacteria; Enterobacterales; Enterobacteriaceae
Also listed under: 1 other name
Description: 23S ribosomal RNA
Rfam family: Bacterial large subunit ribosomal RNA
Source: RNAcentral
GGUUAAGCGACUAAGCGUACACGGUGGAUGCCCUGGCAGUCAGAGGCGAUGAAGGGCGUGCUAAUCUGCGAUAAGCGCCGGUAAGGUGAUAUGAACCGUUAUAACCGGCGAUACCCGAAUGGGGAAACCCAGUGUGACUCGUCACACUAUCAUUAACUGAAUCCAUAGGUUAAUGAGGCGAACCGGGGGAACUGAAACAUCUAAGUACCCCGAGGAAAAGAAAUCAACCGAGAUUCCCCCAGUAGCGGCGAGCGAACGGGGAGGAGCCCAGAGCCUGAAUCAGCAUGUGUGUUAGUGGAAGCGUCUGGAAAGGCGCGCGAUACAGGGUGACAGCCCCGUACACAAAAGCGCAUGUGCUGUGAGCUCGAUGAGUAGGGCGGGACACGUGGUAUCCUGUCUGAAUAUGGGGGGACCAUCCUCCAAGGCUAAAUACUCCUGACUGACCGAUAGUGAACCAGUACCGUGAGGGAAAGGCGAAAAGAACCCCGGCGAGGGGAGUGAAAAAGAACCUGAAACCGUGUACGUACAAGCAGUGGGAGCCCCACCACUAAGCCAGUGGUGAACUCCACAUACGCAUCCUUUGCUGAGGAUACGGUUAACGGAGCGAAAGCGACGUUCAACCGCAAAAGAAGCAGAGGGGGCUUAGUGGUGGGGUGACUGCGUACCUUUUGUAUAAUGGGUCAGCGACUUAUAUUCUGUAGCAAGGUUAACCGUAUAGGGGAGCCGGAGGGAAACCGAGUCUUAAUUGGGCGUUAAGUUGCAGGGUAUAGACCCGAAACCCGGUGAUCUAGCCAUGGGCAGGUUGAAGGUUGGGUAACACUAACUGGAGGACCGAACCGACUAAUGUUGAAAAAUUAGCGGAUGACCUGUGGCUGGGGGUGAAAGGCCAAUCAAACCGGGAGAUAGCUGGUUCUCCCCGAAAGCUAUUUAGGUAGCGCCUCGUGAAUUCAUCUCCGGGGGUAGAGCACUGUUUCGGCUAGGGGGCCAUCCCGGCUUACCAACCCGAUGCAAACUGCGAAUACCGGAGAAUGUUAUCACGGGAGACACACGGCGGGUGCUAACGUCCGUCGUGAAGAGGGAAACAACCCAGACCGCCAGCUAAGGUCCCAAAGUCAUGGUUAAGUGGGAAACGAUGUGGGAAGGCCCAGACAGCCAGGAUGUUGGCUUAGAAGCAGCCAUCAUUUAAAGAAAGCGUAAUAGCUCACUGGUCGAGUCGGCCUGCGCGGAAGAUGUAACGGGGCUAAACCAUGCACCGAAGCUGCGGCAGCGACACUCAGGUGUUGUUGGGUAGGGGAGCGUUCUGUAAGCCUGUGAAGGUGGCCUGUGAGGGUUGCUGGAGGUAUCAGAAGUGCGAAUGCUGACAUAAGUAACGAUAAAGCGGGUGAAAAGCCCGCUCGCCGGAAGACCAAGGGUUCCUGUCCAACGUUAAUCGGGGCAGGGUGAGUCGACCCCUAAGGCGAGGCCGAAAGGCGUAGUCGAUGGGAAACGGGUUAAUAUUCCCGUACUUGGUGUUACUGCGAAGGGGGGACGGAGAAGGCUAUGUUGGCCGGGCGACGGUUGUCCCGGUUUAAGCGUGUAGGUGUGUGUUCCAGGUAAAUCCGGUUCACUUUAACACUGAGGCGUGACGACGAGGCACUACGGUGCUGAAGCAACAAAUGCCCUGCUUCCAGGAAAAGCCUCUAAGCAUCAGGUAACAUCAAAUCGUACCCCAAACCGACACAGGUGGUCAGGUAGAGAAUACCAAGGCGCUUGAGAGAACUCGGGUGAAGGAACUAGGCAAAAUGGUGCCGUAACUUCGGGAGAAGGCACGCUGACACGUAGGUGAAGUGAUUUACUCACGGAGCUGAAGUCAGUCGAAGAUACCAGCUGGCUGCAACUGUUUAUUAAAAACACAGCACUGUGCAAACACGAAAGUGGACGUAUACGGUGUGACGCCUGCCCGGUGCCGGAAGGUUAAUUGAUGGGGUCAGCGCAAGCGAAGCUCCUGAUCGAAGCCCCGGUAAACGGCGGCCGUAACUAUAACGGUCCUAAGGUAGCGAAAUUCCUUGUCGGGUAAGUUCCGACCUGCACGAAUGGCGUAAUGAUGGCCAGGCUGUCUCCACCCGAGACUCAGUGAAAUUGAACUCGCUGUGAAGAUGCAGUGUACCCGCGGCAAGACGGAAAGACCCCGUGAACCUUUACUAUAGCUUGACACUGAACAUUGAGCCUUGAUGUGUAGGAUAGGUGGGAGGCUUUGAAGUGUGGACGCCAGUCUGCAUGGAGCCGACCUUGAAAUACCACCCUUUAAUGUUUGAUGUUCUAACGUGGACCCGUAAUCCGGGUUGCGGACAGUGUCUGGUGGGUAGUUUGACUGGGGCGGUCUCCUCCUAAAGAGUAACGGAGGAGCACGAAGGUUGGCUAAUCCUGGUCGGACAUCAGGAGGUUAGUGCAAUGGCAUAAGCCAGCUUGACUGCGAGCGUGACGGCGCGAGCAGGUGCGAAAGCAGGUCAUAGUGAUCCGGUGGUUCUGAAUGGAAGGGCCAUCGCUCAACGGAUAAAAGGUACUCCGGGGAUAACAGGCUGAUACCGCCCAAGAGUUCAUAUCGACGGCGGUGUUUGGCACCUCGAUGUCGGCUCAUCACAUCCUGGGGCUGAAGUAGGUCCCAAGGGUAUGGCUGUUCGCCAUUUAAAGUGGUACGCGAGCUGGGUUUAGAACGUCGUGAGACAGUUCGGUCCCUAUCUGCCGUGGGCGCUGGAGAACUGAGGGGGGCUGCUCCUAGUACGAGAGGACCGGAGUGGACGCAUCACUGGUGUUCGGGUUGUCAUGCCAAUGGCACUGCCCGGUAGCUAAAUGCGGAAGAGAUAAGUGCUGAAAGCAUCUAAGCACGAAACUUGCCCCGAGAUGAGUUCUCCCUGAGACUUAGAGUCUCCUGAAGGAACGUUGAAGACGACGACGUUGAUAGGCCGGGUGUGUAAGCGCAGCGAUGCGUUGAGCUAACCGGUACUAAUGAACCGUGAGGCUUAACCUU